RNAcentral lists this ribosomal RNA (506 nucleotides) under uncultured bacterium. Its description in RNAcentral is "partial 16S ribosomal RNA". It matches the Rfam family "Bacterial small subunit ribosomal RNA", at positions 29 to 523 of the family's 1533-position model. The record is from RNAcentral.
AGUGAACGCUGGCGGUAGGCCUAACACAUGCAAGUCGAACGGCAGCACAGGAGAGCUUGCUCUCUGGGUGGCGAGUGGCGGACGGGUGAGGAAUACAUCGGAAUCUACUCUGUCGUGGGGGAUAACGUAGGGAAACUUACGCUAAUACCGCACACGACCUACGGGUGAAAGCAGGGGACCUUCGGGCCUUGCGCGAUUGAAUGAGCCGAUGUCGGAUUAGCUAGUUGGCGGGGUAAAGGCCCACCAAGGCGACGAUCCGUAGCUGGUCUGAGAGGAUGAUCAGCCACACUGGAACUGAGACACGGUCCAGACUCCUACGGGAGGCAGCAGUGGGGAAUAUUGGACAAUGGGCGCAAGCCUGAUCCAGCCAUACCACGUGGGUGAAGAAGGCCUUCGGGUUGUAAAGCCCUUUUGUUGGGAAAGAAAUCCAGCUGGCUAAUACCCGGUUGGGAUGACGGUACCCAAAGAAUAAGCACCGGCUAACUUUGUGCCAGCCGCCGCCGUAA